CUGCGGUCAUAUAUAUAUUACAUAGACAAUAAAAAAAUAUUUCAACGCCAUCUUUUGCGUAUAUGCGGGAAUAAUACCUCAAAUCGAUGUAGUGGUAUGUCAUCCGCUAUACUAAACGGUUUUUGGUUUUAUAAGUGACAGUGAUUUGAAGUAUUCUCAUUUCGAAGUUGACGGUGGCUGUGCGACGGCAAACACGUGAUUUUAUUAUAAUUUUCAAGGAUUAUAAGAUACUGAGAUCUACCAACACCUGGAUGAGUCAAAUAUUGACCUAUAUGAUGGACCUAUGGAGUUUCUUGCCGGUUUUUCUCCAUAGAUACUGCUUUCCGAAUCGGUGGUAAAUGUUAAUACUGUUAUGACGAUUCAAAAGUGCUUUUGGAAGAAGUCUAAUUGAAUAAAUAAAUAUUUGAGAUGAAGAUAAUCCCCCAAAUGAUACCGAUGAAGCCGCCCAAAUAACAAAAAAUGAUUCUUCUUCCAUUCGUCCAAUGAGUAUGAGUCAUGUCAGAAUAGAAUCGUCACUAUGUAUGUCAUCUUCAGUUGUUGGCAGACCAUCUCGGGGACGCACAUGACGUGGACCAAGCAUUAGAGGAGGCUGA
Long non-coding RNA from Colias croceus (clouded yellow), 593 nucleotides. RefSeq lists it as uncharacterized. The transcript is spliced from 2 exons. The record is from RefSeq and is a predicted model, not a curated record. NCBI's taxonomy places the organism in Eukaryota, Metazoa, Arthropoda, Insecta, Lepidoptera, Pieridae.